This 253-nucleotide ribosomal RNA is filed under the name uncultured bacterium. RNAcentral describes it as "partial 16S ribosomal RNA". It matches the Rfam family "Bacterial small subunit ribosomal RNA", at positions 524 to 776 of the family's 1533-position model. The record is from RNAcentral.
UACAGAGGGGGCAAGCGUUGUUCGGAAUUACUGGGCGUAAAGGGCGCGUAGGCGGCCUGCUAAGUCGAACGUGAAAUCCCCGAGCUCAACUCGGGAACUGCGUCCGAUACUGGCAGGCUUGAAUCCGGGAGAGGGAUGCGGAAUUCCAGGUGUAGCGGUGAAAUGCGUAGAUAUCAGGAGGAACACCGGUGGCGAAGGCGGAUCUCUGGGCCAUUACUGACGCUGAGGAGCGAAAGCGUGGGGAGCGAACAGG